Molecule: ribosomal RNA, 253 nt
Filed under: uncultured Gaiella sp.
Lineage: Bacteria; Bacillati; Actinomycetota; Thermoleophilia; Gaiellales; Gaiellaceae
Description: partial 16S ribosomal RNA
Rfam family: Bacterial small subunit ribosomal RNA
Source: RNAcentral
UACGUAGGGGGCAAGCGUUGUCCGGAUUUACUGGGCGUAAAGCGCGUGUAGGCGGCCACGCAGGUCCGUUGUGAAAACUGGAAGCUCAACUUCCAGACGUCGACGGAAACCGCAUGGCUAGAGUCCGGAAGAGGAGAGUGGAAUUCCUGGUGUAGCGGUGAAAUGCGCAGAUAUCAGGAAGAACACCAAUGGCGAAGGCAGCUCUCUGGGACGGUACUGACGCUGAGACGCGAAAGCGUGGGGAGCGAACAGG